RNAcentral lists this ribosomal RNA (468 nucleotides) under uncultured bacterium. RNAcentral's name for it is "partial 16S ribosomal RNA". It matches the Rfam family "Bacterial small subunit ribosomal RNA", at positions 28 to 507 of the family's 1533-position model. The record is from RNAcentral.
GACGAACGCUGGCGGCGCGCCUAACACAUGCAAGUCGAACGGAGCUGAGAGAAGCUUGCUUUUCUUAGCUUAGUGGCGAACGGGUGAGUAACGCGUGAGUAACCUGCUCUGGAGUGGGGGACAACAGUUGGAAACGACUGCUAAUACCGCAUAAGCCCACGAUCCGGCAUCGGAUUGAGGGAAAAGGAUUUAUUCGCUUCAGGAUGGACUCGCGUCCAAUUAGCUAGUUGGUGAGGUAACGGCCCACCAAGGCGACGAUUGGUAGCCGGACUGAGAGGUUGAACGGCCACAUUGGGACUGAGACACGGCCCAGACUCCUACGGGAGGCAGCAGUGGGGGAUAUUGCACAAUGGGGGAAACCCUGAUGCAGCGACGCCGCGUGGAGGAAGAAGGUUUUCGGAUUGUAAACUCCUGUCGUUAGGGACGAUAAUGACGGUACCUAACAAGAAAGCACCGGCUAACUACGUG